UACGAAGGGGGCUAGCGUUGCUCGGAAUCACUGGGCGUAAAGCGCACGUAGGCGGAUCUUUAAGUCAGGGGUGAAAUCCUGGAGCUCAACUCCAGAACUGCCUUUGAUACUGAGGACCUUGAGUCCGGGAGAGGUGAGUGGAACUGCGAGUGUAGAGGUGAAAUUCGUAGAUAUUCGCAAGAACACCAGUGGCGAAGGCGGCUCACUGGCCCGGUACUGACGCUGAGGUGCGAAAGCGUGGGGAGCAAACAGG
RNAcentral lists this ribosomal RNA (253 nucleotides) under uncultured bacterium. Its description in RNAcentral is "partial 16S ribosomal RNA". It matches the Rfam family "Bacterial small subunit ribosomal RNA", at positions 524 to 776 of the family's 1533-position model. The record is from RNAcentral.